RNAcentral lists this ribosomal RNA (465 nucleotides) under uncultured bacterium. RNAcentral's name for it is "partial 16S ribosomal RNA". It matches the Rfam family "Bacterial small subunit ribosomal RNA", at positions 339 to 795 of the family's 1533-position model. The record is from RNAcentral.
CUACGGGGGGCUCCAGUGGGGAAUAUUGGACGAUGGGGGAAACCCUGAUCCAGCAAUGCCGCGUGUGUGAAGAAGGCCUGCGGGUUGUAAAGCACUUUCGGUUGGGAGGACUGCUUCUAGCACUAAUAUUGUUGGAAGUUGACGUUACCUUCAGAAGAAGCACCGGCUAACUCCGUGCCAGCAGCCGCGGUAAUACGGAGGGUGCAAGCGUUAAUCGGAAUUACUGGGCGUAAAGCGCGCGUAGGCGGCUAGAUCAGUCGGGUGUGAAAGCCCCGGGCUUAACCUGGGAACUGCAUCCGAUACUGUCUAGCUUGAGUACAGGAGAGGAGAGUGGAAUUCCACAUGUAGCGGUGAAAUGCGUAGAUAUGUGGAGGAACACCAAUGGCGAAGGCAGCUCUCUGGCCUGAUACUGACGCUGAGGCGCGAAAGCGUGGGGAGCAAACAGGAUUAGAUACCCCUGUAGUC